This 270-nucleotide unclassified non-coding RNA is filed under the name uncultured fungus. RNAcentral's name for it is "partial contains small subunit ribosomal RNA, internal transcribed spacer 1, and 5.8S ribosomal RNA". The stretch from base 1 to 73 matches the Rfam family "Eukaryotic small subunit ribosomal RNA", at positions 1759 to 1831 of the family's 1831-position model. Lineage: Eukaryota; Fungi. The record is from RNAcentral.
ACAAACUUGGUCAUUUAGAGGAAGUAAAAGUCGUAACAAGGUUUCCGUAGGUGAACCUGCGGAAGGAUCAUUAUUGAAAUAAAGUUGUUGCUGGUAUUUUAAUUACAUGUGCACACUUUUUAUAAUCUACCCCAAUGUGAACUAUUGCGUGAGCGAAAGCUUGCGAUUAUAAUAACUCUUCUUUGUAUAUGUUAUUGUUAGUAUUAAAAUAAAAUAUAUAUAACUUUCAGCAACGGAUCUCUUGGCUCUCGCAUCGAUGAAGAACGCAGC